AUGGCAAUCGCCAAGAGCAAUACAACCCGGUCAAUGAUCGUGUGCCGGAUGGUUGUUGCGUUGGUGGGGCUUGCUAUGAUGUUUACCUUGCCAUCUUGUCAUGCAAGCACUGAAUCUGCUGGUCAUCCGACGUUGUGCGAGAGUCUAGAUCCAUGUGUUAACGAUUACACCGGAUGCAAAGGUAUAUGCGUUGGCAUGGGCAUGAAACACUUCACUUCCUUUUGCAAGGAGUCAAAUCCUGCUCCGCUGUGUUGCUGCAUAGAGAUAUAA
Molecule: ribosomal RNA, 270 nt
Filed under: Triticum aestivum (bread wheat)
Lineage: Eukaryota; Viridiplantae; Streptophyta; Magnoliopsida; Poales; Poaceae
Description: partial small subunit ribosomal RNA
Source: RNAcentral